Molecule: unclassified non-coding RNA, 166 nt
Filed under: soil metagenome
Description: partial contains 5.8S ribosomal RNA, internal transcribed spacer 2, and large subunit ribosomal RNA
Source: RNAcentral
AACACUGUUAACCUGCGGUACCUGCGGAAGGAUCAUAACUGGUUAAACUUUAUAAACACCAGAGUUUCAAACUCUGUGUUUGCAAACAAAAAAACACCCUUCAAAACAGCCAUUCAGUGUCUGAAUUAACUAGUUUAAUAUAAAAACAACUUUCAGCAAUGGAUCU